RNAcentral lists this ribosomal RNA (246 nucleotides) under uncultured bacterium. RNAcentral's name for it is "partial 16S ribosomal RNA". It matches the Rfam family "Bacterial small subunit ribosomal RNA", at positions 524 to 769 of the family's 1533-position model. The record is from RNAcentral.
UACGUAGGGGGCGAGCGUUGUCCGGAAUCAUUGGGCGUAAAGCGCGUGUAGGCGGCCCGGUAAGUCCGCUGUGAAAGUCCAGGGCUCAACCCUGGGAUGCCGGUGGAUACUGUCGGGCUCGAGUCCGGAAGAGGCGAGUGGAAUUCCUGGUGUAGCGGUGAAAUUCGUAGAUAUUGGGAAGAACACCGGUGGCGAAGGCGGCGACCUGGUCCGUUUUACUGACGCUGAGGCGCGAAGCGUGGGAGC